GAUGAACGCUGGCGGCGUGCCUAAUACAUGCAAGUCGAGCGAAGCGGGGACGGGUGAGUAACACGUGGAGAACCUCCUAUAAGACUGGGCUAACUUCGGGAAACCGGAGUUAAACCGGAUACUUAUAGAUGGAUCCGCGCUGCAUUACCUAGUUGGUAAGGUAACGGCCUACCAAGGCAACGAUGCAUAGCCGGCCUGAGAGGGUGAUCGGCCACAACGGAACUGGGGACCCGGCCCAGAUCCUACGGGGGGGAGCAGGAGGGGAACUUCCGAAAUUGGCGAAAGCCUGACGGAGCAACGCCGCGGUGGUGAUGGAGGGCUUCGGAUCGUAAAACUCUGUUAUUAGGGAAGCGGUACUUAACCAGAAAGGGACGGCUAACUACGUGCCAGCAGCCGCGGUAUUAC
Molecule: ribosomal RNA, 405 nt
Filed under: uncultured bacterium
Lineage: Bacteria
Description: partial 16S ribosomal RNA
Rfam family: Bacterial small subunit ribosomal RNA
Source: RNAcentral